CCGCGCGCUCCCGCCGUGCCCGGUGACGUAGCGGGCGCUGAUUGGCGGGCGCGGUGAGGGGCGUGGCGAGAGGCCCCGCCCCCUCGCCCCUCGGAGCGCGGCCAUGGCGUACGGCGGCCUCGCGGUGCCCAUCAUCGUCAUGAGCGUGUUCUGGGGGGUGGUCGGCGGCGUCCUGCCCUGGCUCGUACCCAAGGGGCCGAACCGCGGAGUUAUCAACACCAUGCUGGUGACCUGUGCUGUUUGCUGCUACCUGUUUUGGCUGAUUGCAAUUCUGGCUCAACUCAACCCUCUCUUGGGGCCGCAGUUAAGCAAUGAAACAAUCUGGUAUCUUAAAUAUCACUGGCCUUAAGGAUGUGUGUGCUGUGCUGCAGUUCAUUGACAGGUGAAGAAGAGAUGAAAAACUCCACUGACCCAAAGGUCUUAGCUCGUCUGUCAUUUUUCUGUUCACCCCUGUUCUGUUUGCACUGGACACAAAUGUGUGCAAUAAACUGUGUGAGGAGAGGAGAAACAGUGAUAUCACGUGCUGAUGGCAAUUCUUUAUUUUAUUUUAUGUUCUUUUUCAAAUUAAUUGUAUUCUUGAGAAAUCUGGCCUUAAAUUUCUCAUGCCUGGAAAUAAAACUAAUCCUCUGCUUGAUACAAAAUGUUCUCGUGCCAUGUUUAACUGUUACUUUUCUGUGGGUUUAAUUGGAACCUUGGAGUUGAGCUGAGGAUAUUUAGAUGAUGUAAUGAAUUGUAAUGAAGUUAAAUAGUAGGAAUAGAUGGGGGAUUGUUGCCUGUAUCGAGACCUCUGGGGUAGAUCUAUAAUAGGAUUAAAUUUGCAAUCUAAAAUUGCUGAAAGUUGCAGGAAUAAGCGAAUCCUUGGCUUGAGAGCCUCUUUUCCAGGAAUUUCCCAUUCUCUGAGGGGGACUUGGAGUAGCAAAGGUAACGUGGUUAAUUUUGACAAAGCCUUUACAGUGAUUUUGACAGGAGGCUGAUUUAAUCCCUGGAACAUUUGGAGGGUAUUUAUAGGAGCAAAUGGCUUGAAUUGAACAGCAAGCAUUCCAGUUAUUUUCUACUGACCUGACCCUUGUGUCAGUGUGGAAUUGCUGACCUGGGAAAGCACAUGGCAACAUAGACAAGAGGUUCCUGAGGCUCCUCAGUGUCAGCUGAGUCCGUGGGAUUGGGGAUGGAUCUGGUCAGUUUGCUGAGGAGCAGCUUCAGAGGAUAUACAUGCUGCUUCCUGAAUGCUUCCUCACCUCUCAUCCAGAUAAAUUACAGUUAUUAUUUAUUGUUAUGCACAAGGACAUAAUGGAAUGGUUAAUAUUUUCUUUGCUUUUCCCUCUUGGGUAGUGCCAUUAACUUAUUCAGUGGGACAGCACUUGUAACUACACAGGAAAUUCCAAGAUCCUGACAUGCAACUUUCAGUGAUCCAAAACUGGACAGUGUGAAUUGCAAAAGAAGGAAGAACGUGCUGAUUAUUACAAAUAAGCAUAGCAGCUGUUGGGACUGGAAUAGCAGAUUUUUUUUUUUUGUCAUGUUACCUUCUAAGAGCUGUAUUUUACCAUGCAAGAUGUUGUACAUCGUCAUGUUACACAGUCUGGACCAAAUAAUUCCUAGGAAAAUUGAAACCAAGUGACCACAUGAAAACGUAAGGUUGUUUAAUUUUUGAAGUGUAUGAAGAAUAAAUAUGUUGACACUGUAUGAGGAGAGGGAGAG
Molecule: long non-coding RNA, 1695 nt
Organism: Parus major (Great Tit)
Lineage: Eukaryota; Metazoa; Chordata; Aves; Passeriformes; Paridae
Source: Ensembl